CAUAAGGGAACCAUGGAAAUAACUCUUCUGUUACUAACACAGACUGCAGUAGGGGCCCUGCUGCCUCAGGCAAUAUGAAACCACAGCAUGGUGUGACAAGCAAAGAGAAGAGUAGUAAUCCAUUAUAUAAAUAUACCAUUAUUCAUUUAUCUGUUUACCCAUUGAUGGCAUUUGGAAUAUUUCCAGUUCGGGACUUUAAUGAAUAAAGUUGCUAUUGCCAUUGUAUGGUGGUGGGAACCAACAGCCCUGGAGAAUGCCCCAGAUGGUGGGGCAUCUAUUUGGUGCAUGUUUAGGUUUGCCUGUCUACAUGCUAGCAAAUCUCUGAAGACAGCCAAAGCCUUCGGAAGGUCUUGUGAGGCUCUGAGGACUGAUAUAUGUGAGAAGAGCCUAGACUAAAUGCAGUUCCAGGAUCAUGUCACAUGCAUGAUCCAGUGUCUCCAGUGGAGACUUGGACUUAGAAGAUGCCCCCUAAAUACCUGUUGAAUACAAUUUAAAAAGAUGUUAAUUAUAAAAUAUUUCAUGGAGGUAGAACAUUUUUAUUAAUUUAUUCACUAAAUAUUUAUUGAGUAUUAUAAUUUUUUUGGCAAAAAAAAGCAUGAUACCAUUUUAGAACAAAACAAUUGGAGAGAGGGGAGGGAUUGUACUCAAAUAGCUAAACUUCAUAACUCGACACCUGUGUCAGGAAAGGUCACCUUUGCUCAAUAAAUACUUGAUAAUUUGCUGUCUAGAAUUAGUCAUGAUGUAUAAUUUAAC
This 753-nucleotide long non-coding RNA is filed under the name Homo sapiens (human). Its description in RNAcentral is "HSALNT0137933". Lineage: Eukaryota; Metazoa; Chordata; Mammalia; Primates; Hominidae. The record is from RNAcentral.